RNAcentral lists this ribosomal RNA (299 nucleotides) under uncultured bacterium. Its description in RNAcentral is "partial 16S ribosomal RNA". It matches the Rfam family "Bacterial small subunit ribosomal RNA", at positions 524 to 802 of the family's 1533-position model. The record is from RNAcentral.
CACGUAGGGUGCGAGCGUUGUCCGGAAUUAUUGGGCGUAAAGAGCUCGUAGGCGGUGUGUCGCGUCGGCCGUGAAAACCUGCAGCUUAACUGUGGGCGUGCGGUCGAUACGGGCAUCACUGGAGUUCGGGCAGGGGAGACUGGAAUUCCGGGUGUAGUGGUGAAAUGCGUAGAGAUCCGGAGGAACACCAGUGGCGAAGGCGACACGCUGGGCCGUACCUGACACUGAUGCGCGACAGCAGUGGGGAGCAAACGAGAUUAGAAUACCCUUGAUACGUCAGACCCAAGGUCUCCAUGCUU